Non-coding RNA from Paramisgurnus dabryanus, 366 nucleotides. NCBI's taxonomy places the organism in Eukaryota, Metazoa, Chordata, Actinopteri, Cypriniformes, Cobitidae. The record is from the annotation of a RefSeq genome assembly.
AUGUUCUUCUUUACUAUACUGCUGUUUACAGCACUUAAAGGUAAAAGUUUUGCAGAUGUUAUCACAUCAAGAAGAGAUCAUGUGUCCGCCACUGUCGGUGACAAAGUUACUCUCUCUUGUAACUUCAGCAGCAGUGGUUAUGUGUCAAGUCUUCAUUGGUAUCGUCAGUUUUUGGGUUCAGUGCCUCAGUUCCUCAUACUGGAGUACUCAGGGAAUGUAGUGACGGCUAAUCCUCCCAUCCAAGGGAUUUCCAUUAAACACAGGAAAGAAGCUCAGGUGGUGGAUCUGGAGAUCUCAUCUGUUAAAGUCACAGACUCUGCUCUGUAUUACUGCGCCCUGCAGCCCACAGUGACAGAAAACCCAUAA